AGGACGAACGCUGGCGGCGUAGCUUAACACAUGCAAGUCGAACGAAGAUACGGGAGAGCUUGCUCGAAGGUAUCUGAGUGGCGGACGGGUGAGUAACGCGUGAACAAUCUGUCUCAUACAGGGGGAUAACGCGUCGAAAGACGUGCUAAUACCGCGUAGGACCACGGAGUCGCAUGGCUCUGGGGUGAAAGGAGCAAUCCGGUAUGAGGUGAGUUCGCGUCUGAUUAGAUAGUUGGUGAGGUAACGGCCCACCAAGUCAACGAUCAGUAGCCGACCUGAGAGGGUGAUCGGCCACAUUGGGACUGAGACACGGCCCAGACUCCUACGGGAGGCAGCAGUGGGGAAUAUUGGGCAAUGGGCGAAAGCCUGAACCCCAGCAACGCCGCGUGAGGGAAGAAAGUUUUCGGAUUGUAAACCUCUGUCCUACAUGAAGAGUUAGAGACGGUAGUGUAGGAGGAAGCCCCGGCUAACUACGUGCCAGCAGCAGC
Molecule: ribosomal RNA, 488 nt
Filed under: uncultured bacterium
Lineage: Bacteria
Description: bacterial SSU rRNA
Rfam family: Bacterial small subunit ribosomal RNA
Source: RNAcentral